RNAcentral lists this ribosomal RNA (496 nucleotides) under uncultured bacterium. RNAcentral's name for it is "partial 16S ribosomal RNA". It matches the Rfam family "Bacterial small subunit ribosomal RNA", at positions 28 to 507 of the family's 1533-position model. The record is from RNAcentral.
GAUGAACGCUGGCGGCGUGCCUAAUACAUGCAAGUCGAGCGAACAGACGAGGAGCUUGCUCCUCUGACGUUAGCGGCGGACGGGUGAGUAACACGUGGAUAACCUACCUAUAAGACUGGGAUAACUUCGGGAAACCGGAGCUAAUACCGGAUAAUAUAUUGAACCGCAUGGUUCAAUAGUGAAAGACGGUUUUGCUGUCACUUAUAGAUGGAUCCGCGCCGCAUUAGCUAGUUGGUAAGGUAACGGCUUACCAAGGCAACGAUGCGUAGCCGACCUGAGAGGUUGAUCGGCCCCACUGGACCUGGGACCCGUCCCAGCCCCCUCCGGGGGGCAGCGGUGGGGAUUCUUCCGCAUUGGGCGAAAGCCUAACGGGGCAACGCGGCGUGGGUGAUGAAGGUCUUCGGUCCGUAAACUCUGUUAUUAGGGAAGAGCAAAUGUGUAAGUAACUAUGCACGUCUUGACGGUACCUAAUCAGAAAGCCACGGCUAACUACGUG